UACGAAGGGGGCUAGCGUUGUUCGGAAUUACUGGGCGUAAAGCGCGCGCAGGUGGUCUUUCAAGUCAGUGGUGAAAGCCCGGAGCUCAACUCCGGAAAUGCCAUUGAAACUGUGAGACUUGAGGAUGAGAGAGGUGAGUGGAAUUCCCAGUGUAGAGGUGAAAUUCGUAGAUAUUCGGAAGAACACCAGUGGCGAAGGCGGCUCACUGGCUCGGUACUGACGCUGAGGUGCGAAAGCGUGGGGAGCAAACAGG
This 253-nucleotide ribosomal RNA is filed under the name uncultured bacterium. Its description in RNAcentral is "partial 16S ribosomal RNA". It matches the Rfam family "Bacterial small subunit ribosomal RNA", at positions 524 to 776 of the family's 1533-position model. The record is from RNAcentral.